RNAcentral lists this ribosomal RNA (321 nucleotides) under uncultured bacterium. Its description in RNAcentral is "bacterial SSU rRNA". It matches the Rfam family "Bacterial small subunit ribosomal RNA", at positions 1158 to 1480 of the family's 1533-position model. The record is from RNAcentral.
UCCACGCCGUCGCGUGAGGACGACGUCAAGUCAUCAUGGCCCUUAUGGCUAGGGCUACACACGUGCUACAAUGGGGAGUACAGAGUGUUGCGAUACCGCGAGGUGGAGCUAAUCACUUAAAGCGUCUCUCAGUUCGGAUUGAAGUCUGCAACUCGACUUCAUGAAGCUGGAAUCACUAGUAAUCGUAGAUCAGCAAUGCUACGGUGAAUACGUUCCCGGGUCUUGUACUCACCGCCCGUCACACCAUGGGAGUUGAUUUCACCCGAAAUCGGGAAGCCAACCUUCGGGGGCUACCGCUUACGGUGGAAUUAGCGACUGGGG